CGCGGCCUAUCAGCUUGUUGGUGGGGUGAUGGCCUACCAAGGCGACGACGGGUAGCCGGCCUGAGAGGGUGUCCGGCCACACUGGGACUGAGAUACGGCCCAGACUCCUACGGGAGGCAGCAGUGGGGAAUAUUGCACAAUGGGCGCAAGCCUGAUGCAGCGACGCCGCGUGGGGGAUGACGGCCUUCGGGUUGUAAACCUCUUUCAGCAGGGACGAAGGGUGACUGACGGUACCUGUAGAAGAAGCACCGGCCAACUACGUGCCAGCAGCCGCGGUAAUACGUAGGGUGCGAGCGUUGUCCGGAAUUACUGGGCGUAAAGAGCUCGUAGGUGGUUUGUCGCGUUGUUCGUGAAAACUCACAGCUUAACUGUGGGCGUGCGGGCGAUACGGGCAGACUGGAGUACUGCAGGGGAGACUGGAAUUCCUGGUGUAGCGGUGGAAUGCGCAGAUAUCAGGAGGAACACCGGUGGCGAAGGCGGGUCUCUGGGCAGUAACUGACGCUGAGGAGCGAAAGCGUGGGGAGCGAACAGGAUUAGAUACCCUGGUAGUCCACGCCGUAAACGGUGGGUACUAGGUGUGGGUUUCCUUCCUUGGGAUCCGUGCCGUAGCUAACGCAUUAAGUACCCCGCCUGGGGAGUACGGA
Molecule: ribosomal RNA, 644 nt
Filed under: uncultured Actinomycetes bacterium
Lineage: Bacteria; Bacillati; Actinomycetota; Actinomycetes
Description: bacterial SSU rRNA
Rfam family: Bacterial small subunit ribosomal RNA
Source: RNAcentral